GCAAUGCGUGCAAGCGCGACGGAGUGACUCCUAGUGCCGGUGGUCUAGCGACCGUCGGCUUUUUUGGAAUGUAAAAAGUUCCAAGAAUAAGGGCUGGGUAAGACUGGUGCCAGCCGCCGCGGUAACACCAGCAGCUCAAGUGGUAGCCGCUUUUAUUGGGCUAAAGCGUCCGUAGCCGGGCCGGCAAGUCCCUUGUGAAAUCGGGCGGCUUAACCGUUCGGCUUGCAAGGGAAACUGUUGGCCUUGGGGCCGAUAGGCGUCGAGGGUACUCCGGGGGUAGCGGUGAAAUGCUAUAAUCCCUGGGGGACCGCCGGUGGCGAAAGCGCUCGACGAGGUCGGACCCGACGGUGAGGGACGAAGGCCAGGGGAGCGAACCGGAUUAGAUACCCGGGUAGUCCUGGCUGUAAAGGAUGUGGACUAGGUGCUGGGUGUUCCUCGAGAAUGCUCGGUGCCGAAGGAAAGCCGUUAAGUCCACCGCCUGGGAAGUACGGCCGCAAGGCUGAAACUUAAAGAAAUUGGCGGGGGAGCACCACAAGGGGUGGAGCCUGCGGUUUAAUUGGAUUCAACGCCGGACAACUCACCGGGGGCGACGGCAGAGUGAAGGCCAGGCUAAGGACCUUGCUGGACUCGCCGAGAGGUGGUGCAUGGCCGCCGUCAGCUCGUAUCGUGAAACGUCCUGUCAAGUCAGGUAACGAGCGAGACCCUUGCUCCUAGUUGCCAGCAGGUGCCUUCGGGCACGAUGGGCUACUCUAGGAGGACCGCUGUCGAUAAGACAGAGGAAGGAGAGGGCGACGGUAGGUCCGUAUGCCCCGAAUCUCCCGGGCAACACGCGGGCUACAAUGCGUAGGGCAGAGGGCUGCGACCCCGAGAGGGGAAGCUAAUCCCUAAACCUACGCUUAGUUCGGAUCGAGGGCUGAAACCCGCCCUCGUGAAGCUGGAAUCCCUAGUAAUCGUGUGUCAUUAUCGCGCGGUGAAUACGUCCCUGCUCCUUGCACACACCGCCCGUCAAGCCAUCCGAGUGGGAUCUGGAUGAGGCUCGUUCUGAUGAGCGAGCCAUCC
RNAcentral lists this ribosomal RNA (1059 nucleotides) under uncultured archaeon. RNAcentral describes it as "bacterial SSU rRNA". It matches the Rfam family "Archaeal small subunit ribosomal RNA", at positions 352 to 1410 of the family's 1478-position model. The record is from RNAcentral.